UGGGGAUGACGUCAAGUCCUCAUGGCCUUAUGCCCAGGGCGUACACACGUGCUACAAUGGGUGGUACAAAGAGAUGCCAACUCGCGAGAGCGCGCCAAUCUCAGAAAGCCAUCCUCAGUUCGGAUUGGAGUCUGCAACUCGACUCCAUGAAGUUGGAAUCGCUAGUAAUCGCGGAUCAGCACGCCGCGGUCGAAUACGUUCCCGGGCCUU
This 210-nucleotide ribosomal RNA is filed under the name uncultured Smithella sp. RNAcentral's name for it is "partial 16S ribosomal RNA". It matches the Rfam family "Bacterial small subunit ribosomal RNA", at positions 1174 to 1382 of the family's 1533-position model. The record is from RNAcentral. Lineage: Bacteria; Pseudomonadati; Thermodesulfobacteriota; Syntrophia; Syntrophales; Smithellaceae.